GCGUGGAUGAUGAAGGCCCUAGGGUUGUAAAAUCCUUUCGUCGGGGACGAUAAUGACGGUACCCGAAGAAGAAGCUCCGGCUAACUUCGUGCCAGCAGCCGCGGUAAUACGAAGGGGGCUAGCGUUGUUCGGAUUUACUGGGCGUAAAGCGCGUGUAGGCGGGCCGGUAAGUUGGGGGUGAAAUCCCGAGGCUCAACCUCGGAACUGCCUCCAAAACUGUCGGCCUGGAGCAAGAUAGAGGCGAGUGGAAUUGCGAGUGUAGAGGUGAAAUUCGU
RNAcentral lists this ribosomal RNA (275 nucleotides) under uncultured bacterium. RNAcentral's name for it is "partial 16S ribosomal RNA". It matches the Rfam family "Bacterial small subunit ribosomal RNA", at positions 399 to 691 of the family's 1533-position model. The record is from RNAcentral.